UACGAAGGGGGCUAGCGUUGUUCGGAUUUACUGGGCGUAAAGCGCACGUAGGCGGACUCUUAAGUCGGUGGUGAAAUCCUGGAGCUCAACUCCAGAACUGCCUUCGAUACUGAGAGUCUUGAGUCCGGGGAGAGGUGAGUGGAACUGCGAGUGUAGAGGUGAAAUUCGUAGAUAUUCGCAAGAACACCAGUGGCGAAGGCGGCUCACUGGCCCGGUACUGACGCUGAGGUGCGAAAGCGUGGGGAGCAAACAGG
This 254-nucleotide ribosomal RNA is filed under the name uncultured bacterium. RNAcentral's name for it is "partial 16S ribosomal RNA". It matches the Rfam family "Bacterial small subunit ribosomal RNA", at positions 524 to 776 of the family's 1533-position model. The record is from RNAcentral.